GUUAAUAAAGGGACAUAACUCAAGAAUGGUAAAAGUGUCGCCACCAAAUUUCGUACUUAAUCUGUAUUAUGUAGUAAUAAGCAUUGUGUAUAAGUUUCAUAACAUUUGGUUGAGGCAAACUAAAGUUAGAAAACGGAAACAAAAAAUUUGUAAUUAAUCUUAGUUUUGUGGUAAUGAAUAUUGUGUAUAGGUUUCAUAAUGUUUGGUUGGGGCAAACUUAAGUUACAGAAUGGAAACUAAAAAUUUUGCAAUCUUUCAAUUUAUAAAGGGGCAUAACUCAAUAAUGGUUAAAGUGACACUACCCAAAUUCAACUUGAUCUGUGUUUUAUCAGUGGAAGUCAAAAUUAAACAUUGCAUUGUUUAAAGCAUUGAUUGUCGUUGAUUUAACUAUAAUCAUGGACAAAGGAAGAUAACUCCAAUUUUAAUAAAAUGCUUCGCUGGGGUGCAGCUUGAUACGACCGCAGAGGUCGAACCCUGAACAGUUGGGGCAAGUAUGGACACAACAUUCAAGCUUGAUACAGCUCUGAAUUUGGAUUGUUAUUAAAUAUUUGACACAGCAUAGGUUUCUGACACAGAAAGAAUGUGGUCUAAGAACUUGAAU
Long non-coding RNA from Mytilus californianus (California mussel), 601 nucleotides. RefSeq lists it as uncharacterized. The record is from RefSeq and is a predicted model, not a curated record. NCBI's taxonomy places the organism in Eukaryota, Metazoa, Mollusca, Bivalvia, Mytilida, Mytilidae. The transcript is spliced from 2 exons.